This 492-nucleotide ribosomal RNA is filed under the name uncultured bacterium. RNAcentral's name for it is "partial 16S ribosomal RNA". It matches the Rfam family "Bacterial small subunit ribosomal RNA", at positions 29 to 507 of the family's 1533-position model. The record is from RNAcentral.
AGUGAACGCUGGCGGUAGGCCUAACACAUGCAAGUCGAACGGCAGCACAGUAAGAGCUUGCUCUUACGGGUGGCGAGUGGCGGACGGGUGAGGAAUACAUCGGAAUCUACUUUUUCGUGGGGGAUAACGUAGGGAAACUUACGCUACUACCGCAUACGACCUACGGUUGAAAGCAGGGGAUCUUCGGACCUUGCGCGAUUGAAUGAGCCGAUGUCGGAUUAGCUAGUUGGCGGGGUAAAGGCCCACCAAGGCGACGAUCCGUAGCUGGUCUGAGAGGAUGAUCAGCCACACUGGAACUGAGACACGGUCCAGACUCCUACGGGAGGCAGCAGUGGGGAAUAUUGGACAAUGGGCGCAAGCCUGAUCCAGCCAUACCGCGUGGGUGAAGAAGGCCUUCGGGUUGUAAAGCCCUUUUGUUGGGAAAGAAAAGCAGCAGGUUAAUACCCCGCUGUUCUGACGGUACCCAAAGAAUAAGCACCGGCUAACUUCGUG